Vicugna pacos (alpaca) is the source of this 2937-nucleotide non-coding RNA. Lineage: Eukaryota; Metazoa; Chordata; Mammalia; Artiodactyla; Camelidae. The record is from RefSeq and is a predicted model, not a curated record.
CGAAGGGCAGGAGAGAGGUGCUGUUGGAACCAGCAGGACACGUGAGCGCUGCGGCCCAGAGCCCGGGUGGAGGGGGCACUGCCCUCUCCCUGCCCCACCACCCUCUGCUCUCCAGCCUGUGCCCGGAAGCCAGAGGGCGAGGUGGCCACGUCACGUGUGCAGGCCACAGCACCAGCCCCCAGGUCAGAGCAGGGCACAGAAGGGACCCCAGCGCCUAGUGGGUCCAGCGCCAGCAAGCCACGCCCAUUGAUUGACUCAAAUCGAUAAACAGGCAUAGAACACAUUCCAUUUUGAUGAAAACAUCACCAAACAGCAGAUUCCGAGAGCCGAGGGCCUCGCCUGGGGCCGCUCACGCCCCUCUGAGGACCUGCCCCGAUGGGAAGGGGAGAAGCCCGCAUCUCCCGUUGUCCGCCCUGGGCCUCAGGCCUCCCCACCAGGCCAGCACUGCCCUUCUGAGAGUGCUGUAGCGUAGCAACGGCCAUCCUGGGGCCGGGAUGGGGCAGUUCGGCAGUCCUCAUAGGGUGCCCAGGGCUGCCCGCUCGGGUCCACACAAGCCCACCGAGCCCAAGGAGGGGUCGACACCUGCCAGGUGGGCGGAAAGGCCCCGCCCAACUGUGGCAGUCUGCCAAGAACCAAUUCCACCAGGGUAGAGCGAGGUCAGCUCUGCCACCAACAGGCUGCGUGGACCCUAAAAGGGCCAAGGAAGUCACCUUUGUGUCUAGCAAAACAUCAUCAUUCAUCUGUCAUCCAGCACUCGUCCUGCCUGAAGAGCCCCCACCCCACCUGCCUCCUAUCAUUGACCCGUGUCUCCUGCACAGCAGUUGGACCGCCUGAGUCAGAACCAUCUGGGGUACUCACCGGUCGGGCCCACUCCCAGCCACUGUCCAGCACGGGAUCUCACCUGGGGCCCCGAGAAGGCCCGCAGUGCAGUAACGCGCUGUUGGGGACCCGGCCAUCGGGCGCCGUGCCCUCACUGCUCCCGCGGAUGCAGAGGCCUGAGCAGGGGCAUGCUUUGCCUGAGUGCUGAUCCCCCACCGAGCCCCAAAGGACAAGGCUCAGAGCGCCAGAAUUAUGGGAAUGGGGGCUGUGCCGCUUUACAGCACAGGAGUCCGGGGAGCAGGGUCCCCAAGCACGAGGCAACUUCUCCCUUUGGGGGACCAGCGAGAUCCUGGCCACUUGUCUCAAGAACAGCUCCAAAGGUGGGGAGGUGGCCCCGAUCCCCCACCCCCACGGCCAUCCUCUCCUGCCUCUCCUUUCAGGCUCCCAAGGACCCCUUCUCCCAACAGGUCUCCAAGUCUGCACUCAGGACUCCCCCUUCCCUCACCUCUACUGUGUAAGAGACCCCAGCUGGAAGCACCCAAGAGACUCCUGCACCCAGGCCACACAGCAAGAGACCCUGAUGGGGGUGCAGGGAUGGCUGAAGCACCCUCAUCCCUACUGUCGCUGCUCCUAGCACUGGGGCUGCCGAAGUCCUAAACUGCACAGCAGACAGCAUUCAUGCUAAUGGUCUUUAGGGGCCCUCCUUCACCCAGGCCCCCUCCUCCCAGCCAGGAAAAUUAUUAAUUCCCAUCCGCCAAGUUUACUUCUGGUAAAGUUUGCCAUUAACUCGGCCAGCCAGGGGCCCAGAAUAAAACGGGGAGGCAGGCAGAGGUCUGGGGCAGUCCUAGCGGGGGGUGUGGGGGGCAUCAGGUGGAGACUCCAUGAUCCUUAGGCGUCUGGAGGGCCGGGGGGAUUAGGAGGCGGUUCCCCAGCCCCCACCCACCCAUGGCAGCAGGUGGCAGGAGGGGACAAGGCUGCCUCAGCCCCCGUCUUCCUGCCAGCUUUGGGUGUGUGAUGCUAAACUCUGUGUGUAUGUGUGAGUGCGCUGUGCACGGAGGAGACGGGCUGGGCUGGGAGCCCCGGCCCUGACAGUGUCCACAAGUGGCCGACGAAGCUGACGGUCUGGACUCUAGGUCAGAAUGGCAGGAGCUGGUGGCCGAAGAUCGCAGGACCAGCAGGGCCAGAGUGUGUUUCAGCUUUUCCCGAUACUCCGCCCCACAGUCCCCAGCCCUGGUCCUUCCUGCACUGUCUUUCCCUCUUUUGUAGGAAGCCAGGCCCCUCCACCUUCAAGGCUGGAUUCCAGUCUCCCGCAGGCGUUCCCCCCUCUCAAGAGUCCGCUCUGGGCUGUGGCUGGGCCUGGAAUGUUGCCGUCACGAUCCUGGCUUCUCCAAGUGGCCUGAGGGCUGUCUGUGGGUUGAGGAGGGGGAGAGGGGUGCAGAAGGAAACCAGGGAGACACACCCGCAGAGACUGUCUGGGCCCUCAGGCCUCGGCAGUGCACGCGGUGCCCUGCUUAAGCACACAGCGCUGGGACUGGACAGGUGGGCCCUCUCGAGGCUGCAGAAACAGACAUCUGAUACACACACACACAGACACACACACACAGACACACACACACACACACACACACACACACAGCUACACGGCCAGAAGGGGGACAGCGGUGUGGCAGGGCUCCCGACGCGAGGGAGACCCCAGAGGCAACAGGCAGGCUGUUUCUGGACUCCCUGCCCGUUUGCCCGCGGGAUGGAGUUGGGUGGUGGGGGAAGCCACUAUGCCCAAGGUCCCAGGGUCUCAGGAGACAGUCCUGCCCAGCAGGCUUCCCCAGCCCACUGUGCAGCAGCCAGGGACAGAAGGGCAAGGCCUCGGAGUGACUUUUCACCGCUUUUUAAAAGGCAGCCCAGAAUGUCACCUCCUGCCAGCCUAAGGCCUUGGCCGCAACUCGUUUCCUCUGCGUUUCCUGCUACCCCAGGUCCAGUUUCAUCUCCGCCACUCCCUGUCCCUCCCAGUGGAGGGGCUGCAGCCCUAACCCCUUCAAUGACACCCUCUCCACCCCCUCUCAAACCCCAGAAGUACUUAGAAACAUAAAUUAAAAUAAAUCGCAUUUUUAAAUCGCAAAA